GAUGAACGCUGGCGGCGUGCCUAAUACAUGCCAGUCGAGCGAACAGACGAGGAGCUUGCUCCUCUGACGUUAGCGGCGGACGGGUGAGUAACACGUGGAUAACCUACCUAUAAGACUGGGAUAACUUCGGGAAACCGGAGCUAAUACCGGAUAAUAUAUUGAACCGCAUGGUUCAAUAGUGAAAGACGGUUUUGCUGUCACUUAUAGAUGGAUCCGCGCCGCAUUAGCUAGUUGGUAAGGUAACGGCUUACCAAGGCAACGAUGCGUAGCCGACCUGAGAGGGUGAUCGGCCACACUGGAACUGAGACACGGUCCAGACUCCUACGGGAGGCAGCAGUAGGGAAUCUGCCGCAAUGGGCGAAAGCCUGACGGAGCAACGCCGCGUGAGUGAUGAAGGUCUUCGGAUCGUAAAACUCUGUUAUUAGGGAAGAACAAAUGUGUAAGUAACUAUGCACGUCUUGACGGUACCUAAUCAGAAAGCCACGGCUAACUACGU
This 496-nucleotide ribosomal RNA is filed under the name uncultured bacterium. RNAcentral describes it as "partial 16S ribosomal RNA". It matches the Rfam family "Bacterial small subunit ribosomal RNA", at positions 28 to 506 of the family's 1533-position model. The record is from RNAcentral.